RNAcentral lists this long non-coding RNA (1044 nucleotides) under Fragaria vesca (wild strawberry). RNAcentral describes it as "long non-coding RNA (FVES_LNC005308)". Lineage: Eukaryota; Viridiplantae; Streptophyta; Magnoliopsida; Rosales; Rosaceae. The record is from RNAcentral.
CUCUCUCUCUCUCCCCCGAUUUCCUCCCGAGCCCCUCCCCCGCCGGACACUUCUUGCCGUCCGUACGCCGCCGUCCGGCCACCAUCUGCCGCCGCUCCGGUCCCAAACUGACUGCCUCCGACCCAGCUUCCAUUCUAGGCCGGUGAGAGGAGCCCUAGCACCACCGUGAGAGAGCGGUGCCGCUCGAAAGGUUUGACUGUCCAGAGCUUCCGGUCGCCGGAACUCCCUCCUCCGGCCACCAAAACCGGUGAUCCUUGGCUCGUUUUGUAGCCCUCCUCCCGUGCAGCAACCCCUCCAAUCAGCUCACUUCCUCUUGAGCUAGGUAAGGAGAAAUGUGGAGUUGAAAUUUCUAGGGCUUUUAGGUGUUUGUGUUCGAUUGCCCUAGUUAGGCUUGGAUUUUGGGUUUGUGCUGGUCAGAAAAGUUGUAGAGCAUGAUGAGGAGAUUAUUCUGUCAAAAUUUCAUAGGUUUUGGAGGUCGCCGGAAUUGGCCUCCGGCCGCCGCUGCCGGCGGAGCCGCCGCCGGUUGGGAGAUUUUAAUGUUGUUAAAUUUGGAAUAUUAAGGGGAGUUUAUUGAAGUGAGUUAUGGAAUUUUUGGAUGAGUUUUGGAUAGGUUUAUGAAUUUCCGAAGUUAGUAUUUUUGGCGGUUAAUUUAUGUAGAAUCCGACCGUUGGAUUAAAGUUGUUUAAACUGUGGGAAGGUGUAGUUACGGCUGCUGGUUCUAGGUUGAAAUGUGGACCAUUUCGAAGUUAGGCAAUGAUGAGCGUGUUAAUGGCUCUCGGUUAAUUUCUGCCUAUUUUGUGUAAAUAUUGGAAUUUCGGCUGGGAACUUAAUAUUAUAUUUGGAACAGGUCGUGAGGAGGCUCGAGCUGACGAGGCCCCAGAUCGACAUCAGGCUUAGGCCUAAUUUGUGAGUGGACUUUUGUUUUAAAUAAUGUGCAUGUGAAAUAAUUUAUGUUGUUGGAGAAUAACCGAAAUUGAGAAUUUCGGUGAGUAUAUAUAUAUAUAUAUAUAUAUAUACAUAUGUGGAUGAUUAUAGAGAAUAAUA